Molecule: long non-coding RNA, 198 nt
Organism: Ornithodoros turicata
Lineage: Eukaryota; Metazoa; Arthropoda; Arachnida; Ixodida; Argasidae
Exons: 3
Source: RefSeq, a predicted model, not a curated record
GCAAGGGGCGCCAGAGUUGCAACGUCGUUCAUAAUGGCUUGCAAGAAUACCUUGAUCAAUAUGAACAUAAAGGCAGACAUAAUAUAUCGUAACCUUCCACUGAUGUGUUACACGAUGCGGUUGUGUUACGGGUACGCGGACCCUUUUAAGAAUGCUACUCUACAAGAGCUGCGAGAAGAAUUCUGGGUCUGUUUGGAG